AGCAGCAAGGUCCACGAUGGGAAAAAUGAACCCAGCUGUCCCUCCUAGCUUGUACCUGCCUGAGUGCAGAAAGAAACCUCAUACAAAGCAAGAAUGCAUUUGGGCUUGUGGCUCUUUUUAACCAUAUUUAAUCCAAUUCAGAGUUAAUGGUAAGUAAUUUUGAAAUGGUUUAAGCAUUGCUGAAGAAGGGAAGAUCAGACUUGGCAGGCAGGAGCUAUUUCAAAGCAAGAUUCUUCUUUCUGUAACAAACAUGGAAACUUUACAAACUUCAUUAGAUCCUGCCAUCAAUGACUGAGCUUCCCUGAAAUCUUCUUAUCAGUUACUGCCAAGAUGAGAAGGAUAACAGGAAGGAGGAGUGCUUAAGUGGUUUUAAUGACAGUUAAUUUCAUCUAUUUAUCAAAUGACAGGUUGUCUUUUUUCCUCAAAACUUGAUUGUCAUGACAAAAUGCUUUUGGAAGUCAUCUGUGUAAAAUAAAACUGACAAUUUUGGGGCCACAAAGA
This is a long non-coding RNA of Neopsephotus bourkii (Bourke's parrot), 501 nucleotides long. RefSeq lists it as uncharacterized. The record is from RefSeq and is a predicted model, not a curated record. The transcript has 3 exons. NCBI's taxonomy places the organism in Eukaryota, Metazoa, Chordata, Aves, Psittaciformes, Psittacidae.